Molecule: small nuclear RNA, 102 nt
Organism: Marmota flaviventris (yellow-bellied marmot)
Lineage: Eukaryota; Metazoa; Chordata; Mammalia; Rodentia; Sciuridae
Source: RefSeq, a predicted model, not a curated record
GUGCUUUGUGGUAGCACAUAUACUAAAAUCAGAAUGAUAUAGAGAAGAUCUGCAUCCUGCACCAGGAUGACACAAGAAGUGUAGGAGUAGGAAGAGAAGAAA